Molecule: ribosomal RNA, 500 nt
Filed under: uncultured bacterium
Lineage: Bacteria
Description: partial 16S ribosomal RNA
Rfam family: Bacterial small subunit ribosomal RNA
Source: RNAcentral
AUUGAACGCUGGCGGCAGGCCUAACACAUGCAAGUCGAGCGGUUGACGGGAGCUUGCUCCCUGAUUCAGCGGCGGACGGGUGAGUAAUGCCUAGGAAUCUGCCUAUUAGUGGGGGACAACGUUUCGAAAGGAACGCUAAUACCGCAUACGUCCUACGGGAGAAAGCAGGGGACCUUCGGGCCUUGCGCUAAUAGAUGAGCCUAGGUCGGAUUAGCUUGUUGGUGAGGUAAUGGCUCACCAAGGCGACGAUCCGUAACUGGUCUGAGAGGAUGAUCGGUCACACUGGAACGGGAACACGGUCAAGCCUCCUACGGGAGACAGCAGGGGGGAAUAUUGGACAAUGGGCGAAAGCCUGAUCCAGCCAUGCCGGGUGUGUGAAGAAGGUCUUCGGAUUGUAAAGCACUUUAAUUUGGGAGGAAGGGUUGUAUAUUAAUACUCUGCAAUUUUGACGUUACCGACAGAAUAAGCCCCGGCUAACUCGGUGCCAGCCGCCGCCGUAA